CCUUGAAUACUGGGGGAAAGCAGUUCAAUAAAAAUGGAAAGAUCUUAGGCAUACAGUCUCUCUGCAUUUGCACCUGCACAGGUAAGGCUAGAACACAGUUAUCUAGAAGGAUUUAUAUCUGCCAUACCCUUCAUUGCUCUCGGGUCACCUGAUGAAAUUCAUUGAAGAAAAUACAUAUGGCAAAGUUUUCAUUCAACACCCUGAGUUCAUAUACAACGUAUUCUGGAGGCCAAAAUAAAGCAAGCUCAGCAGCUGUACUUUAUUUUACUUCGGGGGAAAAAAAAAAAAAGAAUUCUUGGUUCACAUGGGUUUAAGAAUCAAUCUGCUGAGUUAUUGGGACCUCAGGUGACUGAGGAAGGCCAGAGCACACAGAUACUCUGAAGCCUUAUAACUGAGACCCACUCCAGCAGUCCACCACCAAGGACAGCUACAGGGAAUGUGGGGGAGGCAGCUUCUCCCCUCCCUUCUGGAAUCUGGCCUGAGAAAGACCCUCUGCACCAGCCUGGCUCUGGAGCUCCAGGAUCCCUCCUUUUACAAGGUUAAAUCUACAAAGCACCCAAAUGGCACUUUUUGGGGAGGUAGAUGGCAACAAUGACCUG
RNAcentral lists this long non-coding RNA (599 nucleotides) under Chinchilla lanigera (long-tailed chinchilla). RNAcentral's name for it is "lncRNA (ENSCLAG00000027568.1)". The record is from RNAcentral. Lineage: Eukaryota; Metazoa; Chordata; Mammalia; Rodentia; Chinchillidae.